UACGGGGGGGCAAGCGUUGUUCGGAAUUACUGGGCGUAAAGGGCUCGUAGGUGGCCAACUAAGUCAGACGUGAAAUCCCUCGGCUUAACCGGGGAACUGCGUCUGAUACUGGAUGGCUUGAGUUUGGGAGAGGGACGCGGAAUUCCCAGUGUAGCGGUGAAAUGCGUAGAUAUCAGGAGGAACACCGGUGGCGAAGGCGCUCAUCUGGCCCAAUACUGACGCUGAGGCGCGAAAGCUAGGGGAGCAAACAGG
Molecule: ribosomal RNA, 252 nt
Filed under: uncultured bacterium
Lineage: Bacteria
Description: partial 16S ribosomal RNA
Rfam family: Bacterial small subunit ribosomal RNA
Source: RNAcentral